RNAcentral lists this ribosomal RNA (432 nucleotides) under uncultured bacterium. Its description in RNAcentral is "bacterial SSU rRNA". It matches the Rfam family "Bacterial small subunit ribosomal RNA", at positions 29 to 507 of the family's 1533-position model. The record is from RNAcentral.
AGCGAACGCUGGCGGCAGGCCUAACACAUGCAAGUCGAACGGAUCCUUCGGGAUUAGUGGCGGACGGGUGAGUAACACGUGGGAACGUGCCCUUUGGUUCGGAACAACUCAGGGAAACUUGAGCUAAUACCGAAUGUGCCCUACGGGGAAAGAUUUAUCGCCAUUGGAGCGGCCCGCGUCUGAUUAGCUUGUUGGUGAGGUAACGGCUCACCAAGGCUACGAUCAGUAGCUGGUCUGAGAGGAUGAUCAGCCACAUUGGGACUGAGACACGGCCCAAACUCCUACGGGAGGCAGCAGUGGGGAAUCUUGCGCAAUGGGCGAAAGCCUGACGCAGCCAUGCCGCGUGAAUGAUGAAGGUCUUAGGAUUGUAAAAUUCUUUCACCGGGGACGAUAAUGACGGUACCCGGAGAAGAAGCCCCGGCUAACUUCGUG